Molecule: ribosomal RNA, 373 nt
Filed under: uncultured organism
Description: partial 16S ribosomal RNA
Rfam family: Bacterial small subunit ribosomal RNA
Source: RNAcentral
GUAGGUGGCAAGCGUUGUCCGGAAUUAUUGGGCGUAAAGCGCGCGCAGGGCGGUCCUUUAAGUCUGAUGUGAAAGCCCACGGCUCAACCGUGGAGGGUCAUUGGAAACUGGGGGACUUGAGUACAGAAGAGGAAAGCGGAAUUCCAAGUGUAGCGGUGGAAUGCGUAGAGAUUUGGAGGAACACCAGUGGCGAAGGCGGCUUUCUGGUCUGUAACUGACGCUGAGGCGCGAAAGCGUGGGGAGCAAACAGGAUUAGAUACCCUGGUAGUCCACGCCGUAAACGAUGAGUGCUAAGUGUUAGGGGGUUUCCGCCCCUUAGUGCUGCAGCUAACGCAUUAAGCACUCCGCCCGGGGAGUACGGCCGCAAAGGCUG